This 126-nucleotide microRNA precursor is filed under the name Myotis brandtii (Brandt's bat). RNAcentral's name for it is "mir-9193 microRNA precursor family". It matches the Rfam family "mir-9193 microRNA precursor family". The record is from Rfam by way of RNAcentral. Lineage: Eukaryota; Metazoa; Chordata; Mammalia; Chiroptera; Vespertilionidae.
CGUGUACUAGUGGGGUCCCUCGGCCUGGCCUGCACCCUCUUGCAAUCCAGGACCCCUCAGGGGAUGUCAGAGAGCCAGUUUCAGCCUGAUCCUGCAGGCCAGGCCGAGGGACCCUACUGGUGCAUG